CCUAUGAAAAUAAGCGAUAUUUUAGGGGAAAAACAGGGAUUUCCGUGAAAAGAAGCGAUAUAUUAGGGGAAAAACAGGGAUUUCUAUGAAAAUAAGCGAUAUUUUAGGGGAAAAACAGGGAUUUCUAUGAAAAUAAGCGAUAUUUUAGGGUUAAAAACAGGGAUUUCUAUGAAAAUAAGCGAUAUUUUAUGGGAAAAACAGGGAUUCCUAUGAAAAUAAGCGAUAUUUUAGGGAAAAAACAGGGAUUUCUAUGAAAAUAAGCGAUAUUUUAGUGGGAAAAACAGGGAUUUCUGUGAAAAUAAGCAAUAUUUUAGGGUUAAAAACAGGAUUUCUAUGAAAAUAAGCGAUAUUUUAGGGUUAAAAACAGGGAUUUCUAUGAAAAUAAGCGAUAUUUUAGGGUUAAAAACAGGGAUUUCCAUGAAAAUAAGCGAUAUUUUAGGGGAAAAACAGGGAUUUCUAUGAAAAUCAGCGAUAUUUUAGGGGAAAAACAGGGAUUUCUGUGAAAAUAAGUGAUAUUUUAGGGUUAAAAACAGGGAUUUCCAUGAAAAUAAGCGAUAUUUUAGGGUUAAAAACAGGGAUUUCUAUGAAAAUAAGCGAUAUUUUAUGUUAAAAACAGGGAUUUCUAUGAAAAUAAGCGAUAUUUUAGGGUUAAAAACAGGGAUUUCUAUGAAAAUAAGCGAUAUUUUAUGUUAAAAACAGGGAUUUCUAUGAAAAUAAGCGAUAUUUUAGGGUUAAAAACAGGGAUUUCCAUGAAAAUAAGCGAUAUUUUAUGUUAAAAACAGGGAUUUCUAUGAAAAUAAGCGAUAUUUUAUGUUAAAAACAGGGAUUUCUAUGAAAAUAAGCGAUAUUUUAGGGGAAAAACAGGGAUUUCUAUGAAAAUAAGCGAUAUUUUAGGGUUAAAAACAGGGAUUUCCGUAUGAAAAUAAGCGAUAUUGAGGUUAAAAACAGGGAUUUCUAUGAAAAUAAGCGAUAUUUUAGGGGGAAAAACAGGGAUUUCCAUGAAAAUAAGCGAUAUUUUAGGGUUAAAAACAGGGAUUUCUAUGAAAAUAAGCGAUAUUUUAGGGUUAAAAACAGGGAUUUCUAUGAAAAUAAGCGAUAUUUUAGGGUUAAAAACAGGGAUUUCUAUGAAAAUAAGCGAUAUUUUAGGGUUAAAAACAGGGAUUUCUAUGAAAAUAAGCGAUAUUUUAGGGGAAAAACAGGGAUUUCUAUGAAAAUAAGCGAUAUUUUAUGUUAAAAACAGGGAUUUCUAUGAAAAUAAGCGAUAUUUUAGGGUUAAAAACAGGGAUUUCUAUGAAAAUCAGCGAUAUUUUAGGGUUAAAAACAGGGAUUUCUGUGAAAAUAAGCGAUAUUUUAGGGGAAAAACAGGGAUUUCCAUGAAAAUCAGCAAUAUUUUAGGGGAAAAACAGGGAUUUCUAUGAAAAUAAGCGAUAUUUUAGGGUUAAAAACAGGGAUUUCUAUGAAAAUCAGCGAUAUUUUAGGGUUAAAAACAGGGAUUUCUAUGAAAAUAAGCGAUAUUUUAGGGUUAAAAACAGGGAUUUCUAUGAAAAUAAGCGAUAUUUUAUGUUAAAAACAGGGAUUUCUAUGAAAAUAAGCGAUAUUUUAGGGGAAAAACAGGGAUUUCUAUGAAAAUAAGCGAUAUUUUAGGGUUAAAAACAGGGAUUUCUAUGAAAAUAAGCGAUAUUUUAGGGUUAAAAACAGGGAUUUCCAUGAAAAUAAGCGAUAUUUUAGGGUUAAAAACAGGGAUUUCUAUGAAAAUAAGCGAUAUUUUAGGGGAAAAAACAGGGAUUUCUAUGAAAAUAAGCGAUAUUUUAGGGUUAAAAACAGGGAUUUCCAUGAAAAUAAGCGAUAUUUUAGGGUUAAAAACAGGGAUUUCUAUGAAAAUAAGCGAUAUUUUAGGGUUAAAAACAGGGAUUUCUAUGAAAAUAAGCGAUAUUUUAGGGUUAAAAACAGGGAUUUCUAUGAAAAUAAGCGAUAUUUUAGGGGAAAAACAGGGAUUUCUAUGAAAAUAAGCGAUAUUUUAGGGUUAAAAACAGGGAUUUCUGUGAAAAUAAGCGAUAUUUUAGGGUUAAAAACAGGGAUUUCUAUGAAAAUAAGCAAUAUUUUAUGUUAAAAACAGGGAUUUCUAUGAAAAUAAGCGAUAUUUUAGGGUUAAAAACAGGGAUUUCUAUGAAAAUAAGCGAUAUUUUAGGGGAAAAACAGGGAUUUCUAUGAAAAUAAGCGAUAUUUUAGGGGAAAAAACAGGGAUUUCCAUGAAAAUAAGCGAUAUUUUAGGGUUAAAAACAGGGAUUUCUAUGAAAAUAAGCGAUAUUUUAGGGUUAAAAACAGGGAUUUCUAUGAAAAUAAGCGAUAUUUUAUGUUAAAAACAGGGAUUUCCGUGAAAAUAAGCGAUAUUUUAGGUUAAAAACAGGGAUUUCUAUGAAAAUAAGCGAUAUUUUAGGGGAAAAACAGGGAUUUCUAUGAAAAUAAGCGAUAUUUUAGGGUUAAAAACAGGGAUUUCCAUGAAAAUAAGCGAUAUUUUAGGGUUAAAAACAGGGAUUUCUAUGAAAAUAAGCGAUAUUUUAGGGGUUAAAAACAGGGAUUUCUGUGAAAAUAAGCGAUAUUUUAGGGUUAAAAACAGGGAUUUCCAUGAAAAUAAGCGAUAUUUUAGGGGAAAAACAGGGAUUUCUAUGAAAAUAAGCGAUAUUUUAGGGGAAAAACAGGGAUUUCUAUGAAAAUAAGCGAUAUUUUAUGUUAAAAACAGGGAUUUCCAUGAAAAUAAGCGAUAUUUUAGGGGAAAAACAGGGAUUUCCGUGAAAAUAAGCGAUAUUUUAGGGUUAAAAACAGGGAUUUCUAUGAAAAUAAGCGAUAUUUUAGGGUUAAAAACAGGGAUUUCUAUGAAAAUAAGCGAUAUUUUACGUUAAAAACAGGGAUUUCCUAUGAAAAUAAGCGAUAUUUUAGGGUUAAAAACAGGGAUUUCUAUGAAAAUAAGCGAUAUUUUAGGGUUAAAAACAGGGAUUUCUAUGAAAAUAAGCGAUAUUUUAGGGUUAAAAACAGGGAUUUCUAUGAAAAUAA
This is a long non-coding RNA of Tympanuchus pallidicinctus (lesser prairie-chicken), 3051 nucleotides long. RefSeq lists it as uncharacterized. The record is from RefSeq and is a predicted model, not a curated record. NCBI's taxonomy places the organism in Eukaryota, Metazoa, Chordata, Aves, Galliformes, Phasianidae. The transcript has 3 exons.